UUACCUUUCCUAAAAUUACACACAUUUGCUUUAUGACCUAUAGUUCCACAACAAAAGCAGGUUAUUUUCUUAGUUUUAGUUUCUCCAGCUUUAACAAAGAAGUUACUAAGAAGUUUUUGUUUAUUUCUUGGUUUAUAUCCUAAACCCGCUUUAUUAAAUACUGCUCGUUGACUAUUGAGUAUCAUAUUUAACUUUUCAGAACUAUAUGUAAAUUUUUCAACUAAGGGUUUGUAUUU
RNAcentral lists this long non-coding RNA (236 nucleotides) under Phoenix dactylifera (date palm). RNAcentral's name for it is "long non-coding RNA (PDAC_LNC008617)". Lineage: Eukaryota; Viridiplantae; Streptophyta; Magnoliopsida; Arecales; Arecaceae. The record is from RNAcentral.